Long non-coding RNA from Zonotrichia leucophrys gambelii, 679 nucleotides. RefSeq lists it as uncharacterized. The transcript has 2 exons. The record is from RefSeq and is a predicted model, not a curated record. Lineage: Eukaryota; Metazoa; Chordata; Aves; Passeriformes; Passerellidae.
AGGAGCUCUAAGAAAUCUGGCAGAAGCCAUGACCUCUGCCUACCUUUCCCUGUGUUUGGACCACAAAGCAUCAGCCAGGAGUUGCACCAUGGGAUGGUGGAGUGAGGACAGAGGCAGCACCUGCCAGUCCCUCUAUGGACAGAGCUUGCCUUUGCCUCCGUAAUGCUUGAAUAACAAUUCUUUGUGUCACUCUCUGUGUGAGCACUUAGACUCAUCAUAUUUCUGAUGUUGGUGAGGAGAGACCAUGAGGAGCCUUGUUAGCUUAAUUUAGUCCUGAACAUCACAGAGUCAGGCCACUGGCAAGGUUCUUUGACACAGGACACAGGAAUAUUCCUGUUGCCUCCACAGGAGGAGAGGAUUUCCUGGGAUAUUGUGCUGCAACAGCAGAGGACUGGACUUAGUCCUGUGGCAAAUGGCAGAGACACAGGAAGUGUUACUGAAUUCCUGUUUUACCUACUUGUCUGGAUUACAUGAGGAAAGCAAAAACUGAUGUGGAGACAGAGGUAUCAUAUCUGGGCCCUGACUCUGUAUUACAAAUUGGAUGCAUCUGAACAAUCUGUGCAGUUGGAUCUGAUUCUCUGAAGAAAAUUGCUGGAAAUUGAGAGCAAAGAGCUUUGUGUAAAUUCAGCAUAACCACAGGGUUUAAUAAAUGACUAUUGCCUUACAGCACAUUUCAAAA